CUCUACAUCCUGUCAACUCUUGAAACGCUAUCUAAUUUUUCAGCCAUGAAGAUCUUUGCUCUUUUCACAGCUGUUCUCUUCUUUGUGCUGAUGGCUGCUCCAGCACUUGCGCAGAAGUCAGAGGCAGAAUGUCACAGGUUGGGUGGCAGCUGCCAUAAUGGCUUUUGCCCAAUAGGCAAAAUUCACAAGGGACAUUGUGGUAACCCAAAAAGAUGGUGCUGCAGAAAAUAGAUAACCUCAAGAUGUUGUCUACUCACAGUGGAUUUCAGGGUAGCUUGAACAUUUGAUGAUAAUGCUUUAUCUGAUUUGCCUUCAGCUUUUAAUGGAGCUGAU
Molecule: long non-coding RNA, 333 nt
Organism: Podarcis muralis (Common wall lizard)
Lineage: Eukaryota; Metazoa; Chordata; Lepidosauria; Squamata; Lacertidae
Source: RefSeq, a predicted model, not a curated record